AUUGAACGCUGGCGGAAUGCUUUACACAUGCAAGUCGAACGGCAGCACGGGGCAACCUGGUGGCGAGUGGCGAACGGGUGAGUAAUAUAUCGGAACGUGCCCAAUCGUGGGGGAUAACGUAGCGAAAGUUACGCUAAUACCGCAUACGAUCUACGGAUGAAAGCGGGGGAUCGCAAGACCUCGCGCGAAUGGAGCGGCCGAUAUCAGAUUAGGUAGUUGGUGGGGUAAAGGCUCACCAAGCCAACGAUCUGUAGCUGGUCUGAGAGGACGACCAGCCACACUGGAACUGAGACACGGUCCAGACGCCUACGGGAGGCAGCAGUGGGGAAUUUUGGACAAUGGGCGCAAGCCUGAUCCAGCCAUUCCGCGUGCAGGAUGAAGGCCUUCGGGUUGUAAACUGCUUUUGUACGGAACGAAACGGCCUGUCCUAAUACGAUGGGCUAAUGACGGUACCGUAAGAAUAAGCACCGGCUAACUACGUG
RNAcentral lists this ribosomal RNA (482 nucleotides) under uncultured organism. RNAcentral's name for it is "bacterial SSU rRNA". It matches the Rfam family "Bacterial small subunit ribosomal RNA", at positions 30 to 507 of the family's 1533-position model. The record is from RNAcentral.